GGCCUGGUAGCACAACUGGUUAGUGCAUCUGCUUAAGAUUCAAUAUGAUGCAAGUGGGUUUCAGCAGAAGAUCCCUGUUCGAUCCGGGGUCAGGCCA
Mycena latifolia is the source of this 97-nucleotide non-coding RNA. Lineage: Eukaryota; Fungi; Basidiomycota; Agaricomycetes; Agaricales; Mycenaceae. The record is from the annotation of a GenBank genome assembly.